This 233-nucleotide ribosomal RNA is filed under the name uncultured bacterium. RNAcentral describes it as "partial 16S ribosomal RNA". It matches the Rfam family "Bacterial small subunit ribosomal RNA", at positions 15 to 238 of the family's 1533-position model. The record is from RNAcentral.
GAUCAUGGCUCAGGACAAACGCUGGCGGCGUGCCUAAUACAUGCAAGUAGAACGCUGAAGAGAGGAGCUUGCUCUUCUUGGAUGAGUUGCGAACGGGUGAGUAACGCGUAGGUAACCUGCCUUGUAGCGGGGGAUAACUAUUGGAAACGAUAGCUAAUACCGUAUAACAAUGAAUGACUCAUGUCAUUUAUUUGAAAGGGGCAAUUGCUCCACUACAAGAUGGACCUGCGUUG